AUAUCAAGAUGAAUUAAUGAGGACUCGAAAUAUGGAAAUACUCUCUCUUUCUCGCCAUAGAAAAAAAGGGGGAAAGAAAAGAACAACGAACUCCUCUCUUUCUCGCCAGCUCAACCGAAAGCUACUUUCUUCUCAAUGAUUGAACAUUUUGUGUGCGCAAAAGAAUUUUGACUUGUUUUUUUUCGGAGUUAUUAAUUGGUUGACUCAACCUCCUUUUUCUUACUUUCCUUGUAAAACUGUGCAGUUUUGCGAGUCAAGAUUUACUUCCUCCGGAUAUAUAAAGGAUGCCAGGAAGUCAUCCAAUGCAUAACUUUAGCCUUUUCAUUAGUAAUGGCAAAGCUCCUUUCUAUAGCAGUAUCUGCACUAUUUAUAAUCCGAUUGCUUGAGCUUGAGAUUGUGUUAGCUCACUCUUCAACCGGACCACACAGGCCAACAUUGCCAAUAAAAGGUAACUUUGAUUGCCCUACUACUCCCUUACUUCAGCAGUAUGUCCAUAUACAAUAACAAAGGGUAUUGAUUCAAUUGCUUCUGACUUUAUCAAUAACACUCUGUUUUCCCAGAAAUUCAGGAAGUACAGAAAACCCAUUUUGAUAAGCGGCUUCGAUUAGCUCGGAUUGUUAGGAAAGAUCAAAUGGCUAUGCGUCGUCUUUGGGGCAUGGGUAGGGCGUCUGAUCACCCAAUAAAGUUUCCAUUUCCUCCUACAGCACGUCCUGGCGGACACCCCUAGCCCUAGUAUCGUGUCUCUUCUUUUAAGAAGCCCUCUUCAUGGGCAUCGGUUGAUUGAAUCUUACAUAGGAAAUGGGAUAGAUUGCUCACAUACCAAUUUGUAAUGGCUCGUCUCCUCCUCAAUAAUGCUAGCCUGUUAAAGUUAAUGCUAAACUGUAUAAGGCAAGUGUUCCCCCUUUAUGUCCUUUACUUGUCUAGAAUUGUAUGGCAACUAGUUACUUUUGUGUUUGUGUGUGUGUGGCUUUGGUUAAAACUUAAAAAACAAUAGAAAUAUCUACGGUGAUCCUUUUCAUUUUUGUAUUUUUUUUCUCUCUUAGCCUUUGUCCUUGUAAUUGUGCUGCUUUGUUUGUCAACAGACUUCCUAAUUUCGGCACGAUAGAGAGAGAAAGGAAGCAUCCUCUGGAUAUAAGAUGCCCUGUAGGAAGGCAUCCCAUGCAUAAACCUAGCUACCUCCUUAUUAAUGACUGGCAACCUCCUCUCUAACAUUCUCUUUAGACCUUCUACCUUCUUCUCUAUUGGGAAAGAUUGCGAAAAAUCAAAGAACCAAUAAAUAAAUAUGGCA
RNAcentral lists this long non-coding RNA (1288 nucleotides) under Prunus dulcis (almond). RNAcentral's name for it is "sRNA ncRNA". The record is from RNAcentral. Lineage: Eukaryota; Viridiplantae; Streptophyta; Magnoliopsida; Rosales; Rosaceae.